This 489-nucleotide ribosomal RNA is filed under the name uncultured Bacillota bacterium. RNAcentral's name for it is "bacterial SSU rRNA". It matches the Rfam family "Bacterial small subunit ribosomal RNA", at positions 224 to 704 of the family's 1533-position model. Lineage: Bacteria; Bacillati; Bacillota. The record is from RNAcentral.
GAGGGGCUCGCGGCCUAUCAGCUAGUUGGUGGGGUAACGGCCCACCAAGGCGAUGACGGGUAGCUGGUCUGAGAGGACGACCAGCCACACGGGGACUGAGACACGGCCCCGACUCCUACGGGAGGCAGCAGUGGGGAAUUUUCCGCAAUGGGCGAAAGCCUGACGGAGUGACGCCGCGUGGGGGACGAAGGCCUUCGGGUCGUAAACCCCUGUCAGAGGGAAAGAAGGCUGUCGGCGUGAAUAGCGCCGGCAGUUGACGGUACCUUCAGAGGAAGCCCCGGCCAACUCUGUGCCAGCAGCCGCGGUAAGACAGAGGGGGCAAGCGUUGCUCGGAAUUACUGGGCGUAAAGGGCGUGUAGGCGGGAUGGCAAGUCGGGCGUGAAAGCCUUCGGCUCAACCGAAGAAGGGCGUCCGAUACUGCUGUUCUUGAGGAUUGGAGAGGAGACUGGAAUUCCCGGUGUAGCGGUGAAAUGUGUAGAGAUCGGGAGG